CCAAAGCAUUAACUCCUACCCACUAC
This 26-nucleotide non-coding RNA is filed under the name Mus musculus (house mouse). The record is from RNAcentral. Lineage: Eukaryota; Metazoa; Chordata; Mammalia; Rodentia; Muridae.